UACGGGGGGUGCGAGCGUUGUUCGGAAUUAUUGGGCGUAAAGGGCGUGCAGGCGGUUUUGUAAGUCUGAUGUGAAAGCCCCGGGCUUACCCCGGGAAGUGCAUUGGAUACUGCAAGACUUGAGUUCGGGAGAGGAGAGUGGAAUUCCUGGAGUAGGGGUGAGAUCCGUAGAUAUCAGGAAGAACACCGGUGGCGAAGGCGGCUCUCUGGACCGAUACUGACGCUGAGACGCGAAAGCGUGGGUAGCAAACAGG
RNAcentral lists this ribosomal RNA (253 nucleotides) under uncultured bacterium. RNAcentral's name for it is "partial 16S ribosomal RNA". It matches the Rfam family "Bacterial small subunit ribosomal RNA", at positions 524 to 776 of the family's 1533-position model. The record is from RNAcentral.